UAUGGAUUAAACUUUGCCCUCCCAAAUCUGCAUGUUGAAGUUGAACUCAAAAUAUCAAAAUGUGCUCUUUCCAGUAGGGAUAUUGUACCUGUAACUAGAUCAGAAAAGACAAUUUGCUUGUGGCUUUGGAAGACCUUGAGAAGGAGAGCUUGGAUCACAUGAUCUCAGAGGCUGGAGUACCAGCUAUUACACAGAAAUAAAGAAGCACAUUUUAAAGGGCUUGUUAAAUUCCAACGAGCUUUGAAGUCCUGAAUAACAGGAGUCAGAAGGCCAAGCUCAGGCUCAGGCCCUGCUGUGAUUGUGUGACUGUGAUGCUAUCAUUUAGCAUUUGCUGAGGCCUCAUCCUGGCUCAUCCUGGCUCAUCCUGGCUCAUCCUGGGAAGACUUCCGUCCUUUAUCCAGCAGCUCCACCGGAUCUUUGUUAUGGUGAUGAUCUACAGCUGAACUUGCUGUGUGACUUUCUUAAACUCAGUAUACUUUCGCUAAUAUUUUUUCUUAUAUUUAAA
This is a long non-coding RNA of Myodes glareolus (Bank vole), 505 nucleotides long. RefSeq lists it as uncharacterized. The record is from RefSeq and is a predicted model, not a curated record. Lineage: Eukaryota; Metazoa; Chordata; Mammalia; Rodentia; Cricetidae.